CAUAUACUCCCUCCGUCCAACAAAAAAUGUUAAGUUUUUCAAAAUUUGGAUGUAUCUAGACAUGACUUAAUGUAUAGAUACAUUCAAAUUUGGUCAAAGUUAAGAUAUUUUUGUUGGACGGAGCAAGUACCUA
Brachypodium distachyon (stiff brome) is the source of this 133-nucleotide non-coding RNA. NCBI's taxonomy places the organism in Eukaryota, Viridiplantae, Streptophyta, Magnoliopsida, Poales, Poaceae. The record is from Rfam.